This 483-nucleotide ribosomal RNA is filed under the name uncultured Corynebacterium sp. RNAcentral describes it as "bacterial SSU rRNA". It matches the Rfam family "Bacterial small subunit ribosomal RNA", at positions 33 to 507 of the family's 1533-position model. Lineage: Bacteria; Bacillati; Actinomycetota; Actinomycetes; Mycobacteriales; Corynebacteriaceae. The record is from RNAcentral.
GUAGUUGAUCCGUGCUCAGGACACGCUGGCGGCGUGCUUAACACAUGCAAGUCGAACGAUGAUGCCCAAGCUUGCUUGGGUGGAUUAGUGGCGAGCGGGUGAGUAACACGUGGGUGAUCUGCCCCGCACUUCGGGAUAAGCCUGGGAAACUGGGUCUAAUACCGGAUAUGACCCCCUGGUAGGCAGGGGUGGAAAGAUUUAUCGGUGUGGGAUGAGCCUGCGGCCUAUCAGCUUGUUGGUGGGGUAAUGGCCUACCAAGGCGUCGACGGGUAGCCGGCCUGAGAGGGUGAUCGGCCACAUUGGGACUGAGACACGGCCCAGACUCCUACGGGAGGCAGCAGUGGGGAAUAUUGCACAAUGGGCGCAAGCCUGAUGCAGCGACGCCGCGUGGGGGAUGACGGCCUUCGGGUUGUAAACUCCUUUCGACAGGGACGAAGCUUUAUUGUGACGGUACCUGUAGAAGAAGCACCGGCUAACUACGUG